RNAcentral lists this ribosomal RNA (440 nucleotides) under uncultured bacterium. Its description in RNAcentral is "partial 16S ribosomal RNA". It matches the Rfam family "Bacterial small subunit ribosomal RNA", at positions 338 to 795 of the family's 1533-position model. The record is from RNAcentral.
CCUACGGGCGGCAGCAGUGGGGAAUAUUGCACAAUGGGGGAAACUCUGAUGCAGCGAUGCCGCGUGAGUGAAGAAGUCACUAGUUAUGUAAAGCUCUAUCAGCAGGGAAGUAAAUGACGGUACCUGAGUACGAAGCACCGGCUAACUACGUGCCAGCAGCCGCGGUUAUACGUAGGGGGCAAGCGUUAUCCGGAUUUACUGGGUGUAAAGGGGGCGUAGACGGCGGUGCAAGUCUGGAGUGAAAGGCGGGGGCUCAACCCGCGGACUGCUCUGGAUACUGUACGGCUGGAGUGCAGGUGAGGUAAGUGGAAUUCCUGGUGUAGCGGUGAAAUGCGUAGAGAUUAGGCAGAACACCAGUGGCGAAGGCAGCUUACUGGACUGUAACUGACGUUGAGGCUCGAAAGCGUGGGGAGCAAACAGGAUUAGAUACCCUAGUAGUC